Molecule: ribosomal RNA, 253 nt
Filed under: uncultured bacterium
Lineage: Bacteria
Description: partial 16S ribosomal RNA
Rfam family: Bacterial small subunit ribosomal RNA
Source: RNAcentral
UACGGAGGGUGCGAGCGUUGUCCGGAAUCACUGGGCGUAAAGGGCGCGUAGGCGGCUUUCUAAGUCACUUGUGAAAUCCUGGGGCUCAACUCCAGGGCUGCAGGUGAGACUGGAUGGCUCGAGCGCGGUAGAGGCGAGCGGAAUUCCCGGUGUAGCGGUGGAAUGCGUAGAUAUCGGGAAGAACACCGGUGGCGAAGGCGGCUCGCUGGGCCGUUGCUGACGCUGAGGCGCGAAAGCGUGGGGAGCAAACAGG